UUUCUUUUCUUUCUUUUAUAGUGAAUAGGGUUUGUUCUCAUCAAUCCUGGCUCAGCCUCUCCUCAGAAGAGUAGUACUUUGAAACAAUACCAUUACACCACUAUUGUUAUUCAAAGUAUUCUGCUGGCCAUGAGAUUUUUUUUUUUUUUUUUCAGGACUGGCCAUGAGAAAUCUGAUUCCAUGGAACUUAAGCACUUCAACACGGUUAUCACUGAUAUCAUUGAAUCCUCGGGACUGAGUUGCAUCAAACUCGACUGCGAUGAGGAUGCAGAUAGAAAGCAUGGCCUGUCACGAGCUCGAUAUUGCUAAGCUGCAGUAAACGAUCAAUCUGAUCCUUCCUAGAAGGGGGCAAUGCGCAACAAAAGAAAAGAACUUUCCUGCUGCAGCCAAUAGUCAGGAAGAACUGGCAGUUGGUUUCUGCCAUUUCAAAAAUGACAUGUAAAAGAAAUUACUUCAAAAUGAUUGUCAGGAGGUCCAAGUAAUUGACUGGUUCUUAUUGAAUGCGCAACUUUAUACUCA
This is a long non-coding RNA of Nicotiana attenuata, 519 nucleotides long. RefSeq lists it as uncharacterized. Lineage: Eukaryota; Viridiplantae; Streptophyta; Magnoliopsida; Solanales; Solanaceae. The record is from RefSeq and is a predicted model, not a curated record. The transcript has 2 exons.